Molecule: ribosomal RNA, 446 nt
Filed under: uncultured bacterium
Lineage: Bacteria
Description: partial 16S ribosomal RNA
Rfam family: Bacterial small subunit ribosomal RNA
Source: RNAcentral
CCUACGGGUGGCAGCAGUCGAGAAUCAUUCACAAUGGGGGAAACCCUGAUGGUGCGACGCCGCGUGGGGGAAUGAAGGUCUUCGGAUUGUAAACCCCUGUCAUGUGGGAGCAAAUUAAAAAGAUAGUACCACAAGAGGAAGAGACGGCUAACUCUGUGCCAGCAGCCGCGGUAAUACAGAGGUCUCAAGCGUUGUUCGGAAUCACUGGGCGUAAAGCGUGCGUAGGCUGUUUCGUAAGUCGUGUGUGAAAGGCGCGGGCUCAACCCGCGGACGGCACAUGAUACUGCGAGACUAGAGUAAGGGAGGGGGAACCGGAAUUCUCGGUGUAGCAGUGAAAUGCGUAGAAAUCGAGAGGAACACUCGUGGCGAAGGCGGGUUCCUGGACAUUAACUGACGCUGAGGCACGAAGGCCAGGGGAGCGAAAGGGAUUAGAUACCCUAGUAGUC